This 601-nucleotide long non-coding RNA is filed under the name Pogona vitticeps (central bearded dragon). RNAcentral's name for it is "lncRNA (ENSPVIG00000010864.1)". Lineage: Eukaryota; Metazoa; Chordata; Lepidosauria; Squamata; Agamidae. The record is from RNAcentral.
AUGGGGUGGAACCAGCUUGGCUCUGCCUUCCUGAGCUGUCAAAGUGCAACUGAGGAAGCUGGACUCAUUUCAGCGAGGCGGGGUGAUUUCCUCGCCACAGAAAAGUCGGAGAGCAGAAAGUCAGAAAGGAACCACCCCUGCCUCCUGGAGAUUCCCACGUCCCGCAGAAGCCAAAAGCCACGGUUAGGUAGCCAGGAAGCUUUUAGGGAGGUCGUGGAGAGAAGAGAACGGGGAUGAAGACCCUCAGCUUUGAGAAUCCCACUUUGAAGGAAAAAAAAUUACGAGGCCGUGAGUAGUAUGUUCGAUCGCUGCGCGCAGAGGGUGAUGGUCCAUUCAGUGACCUAUAAAUAUAUGGAUUUACAUUUCUGAAAUCUUUCCACAACGAGGCAUUUAAAUUAAUUUAGUUCUCCACAGAUUGAAUCCGCUUCUGUGGGAUAUUUUGCUUUAAAAACUCCUGUUCUUGGACCUCCAACCUACUUGACGGUCAAUCAAGUUCCGGCUUCUUCGCUGUCAUUGUGUUCCGCUCUUGCCUCUUGUUGUUCAGACUCCUUUUGAGUGCUGAAUCUCCCAUUUCUUCCAUCCAAAAUAUUUUAAACAGCAG